CAGUCGAACGAAGCACUUGAGAUUGAUUCUUCGGAAGAUUUCUCUUGUGACUUAGUGGCGGACGGGUGAGUAACGCGUGGGUAACCUGCCUCACACAGGGGGAUAACAGUUGGAAACGACCGCUAAUACCGCAUAACCCGCUAGGGCCGCAUGGCCCGGGCGGAAAAGAUUUAUCGGUGUGAGAUGGACCCGCGUUGGAUUAGCUAGUUGGCAGGGUAACGGCCUACCAAGGCGACGAUCCAUAGCCGGCCUGAGAGGGUGAACGGCCACAUUGGGACUGAGACACGGCCCAAACUCCUACGGGAGGCAGCAGUGGGGAAUAUUGCACAAUGGGGGAAACCCUGAUGCAGCGACGCCGCGUGAGUGAAGAAGUAUUUCGGUAUGUAAAGCUCUAUCAGCAGGGAAGAAAAUGACGGUACCUGACUAAGAAGCCCCGGCUAACUACGUGCCAGCAGCCGCGGUAAUACGUAGGGGGCAAGCGUUAUCCGGAUUUACUGGGUGUAAAGGGAGCGUAGACGGUUAAGCAAGUCAGAAGUGAAAGGCUGGGGCUCAACCCCGGGACUGCUUUUGAAACUGUUUAACUAGAGUGCUGGAGAGGUAAGCGGAAUUCCUAGUGUAGCGGUGAAAUGCGUAGAUAUUAGGAGGAACACCAGUGGCGAAGGCGGCUUACUGGACAGUAACUGACGUUGAGGCUCGAAAGCGUGGGGAGCAAACAGGAUUAGAUACCCUGGUAGUCCACGCC
Molecule: ribosomal RNA, 742 nt
Filed under: uncultured bacterium
Lineage: Bacteria
Description: bacterial SSU rRNA
Rfam family: Bacterial small subunit ribosomal RNA
Source: RNAcentral